UGGAUGACAAGCUUGUAUUUGCAAAUGUACACACCCUGUGGGAGGUGAUCUGUACAUACGCUGAGAUACUGUACAUAAAAUUGCCUCUGAAUCCCAAUCAUCUGAAAACCGUGUCCUCAGCCUUUGAUACCUUCAGCUGUUUUAUGAAAGUCCUCCAAGUGGAUGAAAGUAUCAACAACCGGAACAAGAGUUUUUCAUUGCCCUAUUUGAGAAGAGCUGCGUGAACGACUUUUAUAUUCAGGAUAGAGAUACAUUCAUCAAUCCAACCACCAGGAGCCGCACUGUAAGUCUAAACCGAGUUUAGCUGCUGUCUUGGGGGUGAUUUAGAACCUGCUGUUGAAUUAUAAGUGAUUUGGUUUUGUUGGUUUGGUUUGGUUUUUAAAAGCUGCCCAUAAAAAUGAAAAAAGAGAAAGAAAAGAAAUAUGCCUACAGAUUCCUGUUAGGAUAGUAAACAGUGGCUGGUUAUUUACCCUGUAUAAACCACACGCUUUCUUAGAAUCUAUUUAGGUUUACUUCAUCCUUUCUCAGAUCAAGUAUCAAGUAAGGGACAGUUUUAAAAAAAAAUUCAGGAUUAACUGGAUUGUGAGCUCCGGGAUCUGCAAGGCAGCUUUCCCUUCCCAUGGUGUAAGUCAAAUGGCAGAAAUGAAAUAAAGCACUUCAUGUAUCCUCCGGUGUUAACAGGAAAAGGUGAGUCUUCUUGACCUUGUUACUUCCUGGGUAAAAUGAAGAUAAUAUGUCAGGAGUCGACAAGCCCAUUUAGGGCAGGAACCAUGUUGUCUUGUUCACUGCUGAAUCCCAGGCACCAGGAAGGCUGAGUUUAACAAGUGGGUGAAUGAAUGAACUGUAUUUCCCCCAGAGUUACCAUGUGGGGCAGUGUGGAUUAGCAUCUAAGAACAUAGACACGAGAGGUGAGGGUACAGCUCAAGUGAUGGGGCGCAUGCUUAGCACGCAUAAAGUCCUGGGUUCAGCCCCCAACACCUCCUCUAAAAUAGACAAAUAACCCUAAUUACCUCCCCACCCCCCACCAGAAUUACCUUAUUAUCUCCCUGCCACCAAAAAAAAAAAAAAAAAAGGUAGAAGUGGCCAAGAGCAUAGACUCAGGCUGGAACACUUGUGCUGGUUUCUCGCUGUCUACCUUGUAAAAGUCAUUUAGCCUCUGUGUUUAUCAAGUUCCUCAUCAAUAAAAUGGGGAUAAUAAUAGUACCCACCUCGUAGAGAUGCUAUGGGGAUUAAUGAAUCUGCUUGAAUUUUAGAACAGCCCUGGCUAAUAGUAAGUACUAUGCAUUUGCCAGCUCUUUUCAUAAUUACUGACAGAUGUUAUUAUCAACCAAAGAAGUAUUAGUUCUUUGUAAGGGAAAUGCAUGUUAGACCAUUUCAUUUAUCAUUUUCUGUAAUUCAGGCUUUUUCCCUCUGAAAUACCAUUUUCUGUCUGUGCACUAGUAAAUCACAGGGCUUUCCAAAUUUCAUCUGUCUGAGUUCUUGUCAUGAUGACAAUACUGCAGAGUUUUGACAUUUUUUAGGGACUCCAUCUGAGAUGACAGCAACCCCUCAAAUUCAGAAGCACUUCUCUAACUGACAACAUCUCGCAUGAAAUGAAGUUUGUAAAAUUGCAACUUCAGCCUCCAUCAGAGGACCUCAGCUGCCCCAGCGAACAGGGCCUUCUGUACAGGGAAUGUGCUCCUCCUCGAAGCAUAGACAAGAAGCAGCCCUUAGAUCUCAUCAGAACCUGAAUGGAAGAGACCCAAUCCAGAAGUACCUGACUGUGCAGGUGGGCCACGCCCAUCACUGCUUCCCUCAUCAGUUUUAUCAUCAUCGUGACCCUGAACGCCAUAUAUGAGAAAGUGGCAAUCAAGAUGACUGAGUCUGUUAAGCUCCUUCUGCAGCUGAGGUCAUUUCUACACCAGUUUUAGAACCAGGUCAAAACAGAGACUUUAUCUUUUAGGCACUUCAAUUCCAGUACAUUACAGUCUUUAGAAAACUUCAAGUGUAAACGUAUUUUCUCUAGCCUAUAUGAGAAGUGAAUUAGCUGCAGCUUUGCAUUAGUAAAAGGGAUAAAGAAAGCUUUAGAAUGUCCAAGCUCUGUGUAAAUAUGUCAGUGCUUAAUAAUAAUUUCAAUUACAUUAG
Molecule: long non-coding RNA, 2124 nt
Organism: Camelus dromedarius (Arabian camel)
Lineage: Eukaryota; Metazoa; Chordata; Mammalia; Artiodactyla; Camelidae
Exons: 3
Source: RefSeq, a predicted model, not a curated record